CACACCGCCCGUCGCUACUACCGAUUGAAUGGCUCAGUGAGGCCUUCGGACUGGCUCGGGGAGGUUGGCAACGACCACCCCGAGCCGGAAAGUUCGUCAAACUCGGUCAUUUAGAGGAAGUAAAAGUCGUAACAAGGUUUCCGUAGGUGAACCUGCGGAAGGAUCAUUA
RNAcentral lists this ribosomal RNA (169 nucleotides) under Macrodiplodiopsis desmazieri. RNAcentral's name for it is "partial 18S ribosomal RNA". It matches the Rfam family "Eukaryotic small subunit ribosomal RNA", at positions 1665 to 1831 of the family's 1831-position model. Lineage: Eukaryota; Fungi; Ascomycota; Dothideomycetes; Pleosporales. The record is from RNAcentral.